RNAcentral lists this ribosomal RNA (278 nucleotides) under Shigella flexneri. RNAcentral's name for it is "partial 23S ribosomal RNA". It matches the Rfam family "Bacterial large subunit ribosomal RNA", at positions 2650 to 2925 of the family's 2925-position model. The record is from RNAcentral. Lineage: Bacteria; Pseudomonadati; Pseudomonadota; Gammaproteobacteria; Enterobacterales; Enterobacteriaceae.
GGCGUUGGAAAUUUGAGAGGAGCUGUCCUUAGUACGAGAGGACCGGGAUGGACUUACCGCUGGUGUACCAGUUGUUCUGCCAAGGGCAUUGCUGGGUAGCUAUGUAGGGAAGGGAUAAACGCUGAAAGCAUCUAAGUGUGAAGCCCACCUCAAGAUGAGAUUUCCCAUUUCUUUAAGAAAGUAAGAUCCCUGAGAGAUGAUCAGGUAGAUAGGUCAGGAGUGGAAGUACAGUGAUGUAUGGAGCGGACUGAUACUAAUCGAUCGAGGACUUAACCAAU